GACGAACGCUGGCGGCGUGCUUAACACAUGCAAGUCGAACGGAAAGGCCCUGCUUUUGUGGGGUGCUCGAGUGGCGAACGGGUGAGUAACACGUGAGUAACCUGCCCUUGACUUUGGGAUAACUUCAGGAAACUGGGGCUAAUACCGGAUAGGAGCUCCUGCUGCAUGGUGGGGGUUGGAAAGUUUCGGCGGUUGGGGAUGGACUCGCGGCUUAUCAGCUUGUUGGUGGGGUAGUGGCUUACCAAGGCUUUGACGGGUAGCCGGCCUGAGAGGGUGACCGGGCACAGUGGGACUGAGAUACGGACCAGACUCCGUCGGGAGGCAGCAGUGGGGAAUAUUGCACAAUGGGCGGAAGCCUGAUGCAGCAACGCCGCGUGCGGGAUGACGGCCUUCGGGUUGUAAACCGCUUUCGCCUGUGACGAAGCGUGAGUGACGGUAAUGGGUAAAGAAGCACCGGCUAACUACGUG
RNAcentral lists this ribosomal RNA (468 nucleotides) under uncultured bacterium. RNAcentral's name for it is "partial 16S ribosomal RNA". It matches the Rfam family "Bacterial small subunit ribosomal RNA", at positions 28 to 507 of the family's 1533-position model. The record is from RNAcentral.